RNAcentral lists this ribosomal RNA (460 nucleotides) under Crotalus armstrongi (Mexican dusky rattlesnake). RNAcentral's name for it is "partial 12S ribosomal RNA". Lineage: Eukaryota; Metazoa; Chordata; Lepidosauria; Squamata; Viperidae. The record is from RNAcentral.
UGUCCGNNNNACAACUACGAGUUAUACUUAAAACUUAAAAGACUUGACGGUGCUUCACCACGCCCUAGAGGAGCCUGUCUAAUAACCGAUAAUCCACGAUUAACCCAGCCCCCUCUGGCCCAACAGUCUAUAUACCGCCGUCGCCAGCUUACCUUGUAAAAGAAAUAAAGUGAGCUAAACAGCACCACACUCAAACGACAGGUCGAGGUGUAACUAAUGAAGGGGACUAAGAUGGGCUACAUUCUCUUAUCCGAGAAUACNAACAACACUAUGAAAUUAGGUUUAAAGGCGGAUUUAGCAGUAAGAUAAGAAUAAAACACUUAACUGAACAUAACGCAAUGAAGUGCGUACACACCGCCCGUCACCCCUGCCACCACAAUACAUCUUUAAUAAACCAACCAAAAACUAAAACCAGGGCAAGUCGUAACAUGGUAAGUGUACUGGAAAGUGUACUUAGAAA